GCAUGUGGUUUAAUUCGAAGCAACGCGAAGAACCUUACCAAGUCUUGACAUCCUUCUGACCGGACAGUAAUGUGUCCUUUCCUUCGGGACAGAAGAGACAGGUGGUGCAUGGUUGUCGUCAGCUCGUGUCGUGAGAUGUUGGGUUAAGUCCCGCAACGAGCGCAACCCUUAUCCCCAGUAGCCAGCGGUUCGGUCGGGCACUCUGAGGAGACUGCCAGGGAUAACCUGGAGGAAGGUGGGGAUGACGUCAAAUCAUCAUGCCCCUUAUGACUUGGGCUACACACGUGCUACAAUGGCGU
RNAcentral lists this ribosomal RNA (299 nucleotides) under Roseburia inulinivorans. Its description in RNAcentral is "partial 16S ribosomal RNA". It matches the Rfam family "Bacterial small subunit ribosomal RNA", at positions 937 to 1236 of the family's 1533-position model. The record is from RNAcentral. Lineage: Bacteria; Bacillati; Bacillota; Clostridia; Lachnospirales; Lachnospiraceae.